Molecule: transfer RNA, 78 nt
Filed under: Paenibacillus thiaminolyticus
Lineage: Bacteria; Bacillati; Bacillota; Bacilli; Caryophanales; Paenibacillaceae
Description: tRNA-Met
Rfam family: tRNA
About the family: Transfer RNA (tRNA) molecules are approximately 80 nucleotides in length. Their secondary structure includes four short double-helical elements and three loops (D, anti-codon, and T loops).
Source: RNAcentral
AGCGGAGUAGCAGCAGUUUGGUAGCUCGCUUGGCUCAUAACCAAGAGGUCAAGGGUUCAAAUCCCUUCUCCGCAACCA